AGCGAACGCUGGCGGCAGGCCUAACACAUGCAAGUCGAGCGCCCCGCAAGGGGAGCGGCAGACGGGAGAGUAACACGUGGGAACGUACCCUUCAGUUCGGAACAACCCAGGGAAACUUGGGCUAAUACCGAAUACGUCCGUAAGGAGAAAGAUUUAUCGCUGAAGGAUCGGCCCGCGUCUGAUUAGCUAGUUGGUGAGGUAAUGGCUCACCAAGGCGACGAUCAGUAGCUGGUCUGAGAGGAUGAUCAGCCUCACUGGGACUGAGACACGGCCCAGACUCCUACGGGAGGCAGCAGUGGGGAAUAUUGGACAAUGGGCGCAAGCCUGAUCCAGCCAUGCCGCGUGGAUGAUGAAGGCCCUCGGGUUGUAAAGCUCUGUCGGAGGGGAAGAAUAAAUGACGGUACCCUCCAAGAAAGCCCCGGCUAACUACGU
This 432-nucleotide ribosomal RNA is filed under the name uncultured bacterium. Its description in RNAcentral is "bacterial SSU rRNA". It matches the Rfam family "Bacterial small subunit ribosomal RNA", at positions 29 to 506 of the family's 1533-position model. The record is from RNAcentral.